This 503-nucleotide ribosomal RNA is filed under the name uncultured bacterium. Its description in RNAcentral is "bacterial SSU rRNA". It matches the Rfam family "Bacterial small subunit ribosomal RNA", at positions 29 to 523 of the family's 1533-position model. The record is from RNAcentral.
AUUAAACGCUGGCGGCAUGCCUUACACAUGCAAGUCGAACGGCAGCACGGGGGCAACCCUGGUGGCGAGUGGCGGACGGGUGAGUAAAGCAUCGGAACGUAUCCUGGAGUGGGGGGAUAACGUAGCGAAAGUUACGCUAAUACCGCAUAUUCUGUGAGCAGGAAAGCAGGGGAUCGCAAGACCUUGCGCUCUGGGAGCGGCCGAUGUCGGAUUAGCUAGUUGGUGGGGUAAAGGCCUACCAAGGCGACGAUCCGUAGCGGGUCUGAGAGGAUGAUCCGCCACACUGGGACUGAGACACGGCCCAGACUCCUACGGGAGGCAGCAGUGGGGAAUUUUGGACAAUGGGCGGAAGCCUGAUCCAGCCAUGCCGCGUGAGUGAAGAAGGCCUUCGGGUUGUUAAAGGCUCUUUCGGCGGGGAAGAAGUUGCUUGGGUUAAUACCCUGAGUAGAUGACGGUACCCGAAUAAGAAGCACCGGCUAACUACGUGCCAGCAACCGCGGUAA